Molecule: long non-coding RNA, 2644 nt
Organism: Pavo cristatus (Indian peafowl)
Lineage: Eukaryota; Metazoa; Chordata; Aves; Galliformes; Phasianidae
Source: Ensembl
UGCAUUCAAGCUCAGGUUCCUCUGAGUUGUAACUGGGCCAGGGAACAGCCUGCCUGAGAGUAAGCAUAGCCAGUGGGUAUGGGUGGCAGAUAUCAGAUAUCCCAUGCUGAGGACAUUGCAACAAAGGCUGGGUCUGAAAGGCUCUGAACAGCAUACAGCCCCCAUUGCAGCAAAAGGGAGCCAGCAGCACUCGGAAAGAAGCAUUCAACAAUAAGCCGGACUAAACAAGAGUUAUUACUUAAUACACAAAGCAACCCAACAUCAGUUCCUACGUUAUUUACUUCUGUUUCCUCUCAUGAUAAGCUAUUGUCUCUGUGCAUGUUGCUUGGGAAUAUUACAUCUUUUGUUCCCAUGCCUCUCCUCUUCUUCUCUCCAAAGACUGACUUCUACUCUGGCAUCCAAGGAUCUGCCUUGGUGGCUCACCAGCAGAGCACAAAGGGGCUGUGCUCACUGCCUGCACCGGAGGGAGGAGAUUAGGCAGCGCUGCUCUGGCCAUCCGGAGUCACACAUAUGGUUCAGCUGUACCAGCCAACUUAGCAGAGCUGGGAGGCUGUUUUCAACAUGAAAAACUGAGCCAGCAAAAACUAGGCUCCAGUAUCUACCAAAAACAUGACUAAACAUCUCCAAUCAUAUAAAAACCACAUGGCCCACGCUCCUGUACAUNGUACUGGGUUUAUACAGCCAGCAACCUGGAUAGGGGCUAUCCAAAGAAACUCACCAGCCUGGGACUGCCCCCCGACGUGCAGCGCGUCGAUGCAGUUUUCAACUGGGGCAGAAACAAGAAGACGUAUAUCUUCUCUGGAGACAGAUACUGGAAGUACAAUGAAGAAAAGAAAAAAAUGGAGCUUGCAUCCCCAAAAUUCAUUGCGGAUUCCUGGAACGGAGUUCCAGAUAACCUCGAUGCUGUCCUGGGUCUUACUGACAGCGGGUACACCUACUUUUUCAAAGACCAGUACUAUCUACAAAUGGAAGACAAGAGUUUGAAGAUCGUUAAAAUUGGCAAGAUAAGCUCUGACUGGUUGGGUUGCUGAACUGUAGAAUAUAUUAAUAACCAAAUAUUUACUUUUUUGUUAUAUACCUUAUCUGUAAUUAGAAAUAGAUCCGAAUGUCAAUUACUGGACCAGUCUGGUACUGGCACCAAAACAUUAAGUACCAGUACUGUACACAUCAGAUAAUUUAAAAGCGUUUGCCUCUUCAACGUACAAAAGAUGUUUACGUAUCUAUUCUGGUACAGUGUUUCAGUUUUUGUGCUACUCAUAGUAAUUCUAGUAACAGAACGCGCACGGUUCUUUAUUUCCCUGGUGCUUGAAGAAAGCAUUGAAAUCAUUGGAGACUGGAUCAGGCCCCUGUGUUAUAUACAUCUCAAAUAGCCUCAAGUAAGAUGUACCAGCAGUGCACUUUGACUUUUUUUUAAGUUUUUUUUUUUUUAAAUACAACUCUUUUAUAAAUAGAUGGUUUGUCUUAAUGUUUUUAACCCUCUUGUGAGUUUGAUCAUUACUUCCAUUUAUUUACAUAAUGAUACAGAAAGACUGUCAAAGGCACAGGUUGCCUCAGGAUUUGAUUUGUAUUGAUGCAUGAUGGAAUCAUGGCAAGAAACUGUAUUAAAGUAUUGUUUUAAAGUACUUUCUAUUUUAAAACCUUAGUUCAACUUAGCAAUUUGCUUCCUGCACUUUGUUACUACUCUAUAACUCGUCUAUACAGACAGAAUGACUCAGAUGUUUUAAGUCAAUGCAUUAUACACAGAAGUCAAGUAUUAUUGUUUACCUUGUUUUAUGUUUCUGUUCUUUAUAAUAUUGAGUUUUUGUUUGGUUAGGCUUUCUGCUUAUGCAUUGGGCAACAGAAGGUGUUCUUUUCACAUGUGAUGGAAUGUUUCUCAUUAAAGAAAAAAAAAGUAAAAAAAAAACAAAAACAGAAAACAAUGUCCCAAACAUGAAAUGCCAGUGGUACAAAUAAAGUUAAAUUACACUGUCAACACUUCUCAUGGCUGUGCUUCCUUGUAUCAUUUGGAAUUAGGAAUUCAGUAGUGAAAUAGCUGUCAAGGGAUGGCCAGUAUUACUCCAGGAUAUAAUGGUGUACUGGCUUCAUUUAGAAAUCCAAGUUAACUUUUCUAUGACUUCUAUAAUAGAACUGCAGCAACUUACAUUAAACAGAUGUGAUAGCCCCAUACUCCUCCAAAGCCCUCUGCCUUUUCAGAACAGUGUACAGCCUAUUAUCCACACUUUUCCUUCUUUAUCAGCAGGCUACCCCACCACAACGUAGAAAGAUACGAUCAGAAUACAAAUUGUAUACAUAUCUUACAGUGAACAUAAGUUUGAGAAACAGAAACUCAAACCUUUACUGCUGCACACGGACCCAACACUGUCUGGCCAAGGAGCUUAUUUAGCUUCACAAACAUGAGGCACUUCAUGCAGCUAUGAGCUACAUCAUGCACCUGGUCAACCCAGCUCCUCAACAUGUCUCUCACUGGGUUCACAGGUCAUAAGACUGGCCAGUAAUCAGUUAAUACUUGAACCAUCAGCUUAUAGCUGAUGUCCUCUUCACACUCAGUGCUUCCCUUUUAUAACUAAAGGGGUAUUUUUGUUGUUGUUUUGUAGGUGGGUUUUAUUCUGUUUUUCUAGUUUUUUUGGUGGUUUUUUUAUUUCCA